GGUUACUGCUAUCGAGGUUCGACUAAGCCAUGCGAGUCGAAUGUAGCAAUACAUGGCGAACUGCUCAGUAACACGUGGACAACCUGCCCUUAGGACGGGGAUAAACCCGGGAAACUGGGUAUAAUACCCGAUAGGUCUCGAUUGCUGGAAUGCAUCGAGAUUUAAAGCUCCGGCGCCUAAGGAUGGGUCUGCGGCCUAUCAGGUAGUAGUGGGUGUAGCGUACCUACUAGCCUACGACGGGUACGGGUUGUGAGAGCAAGAGCCCGGAGAUGGAUUCUGAGACACGAAUCCAGGCCCUACGGGGUGCAGCAGGCGCGAAAACUUUACAAUGCUGGCAACAGCGAUAAGGGAACCUCGAGUGCCAGGUUACAAAUCUGGCUGUCGAGAUGCCUAAAAAGCAUUUCAUAGCAAGGGCCGGGCAAGACCGGUGCCAGCCGCCGCGGUAACACCGGCGGCUCGAGUGGUAACCGUUAUUAUUGGGUCUAAAGGGUCUGUAGCCGGCCGGAUAAGUCUCUUGAGAAAUCUGGCAGCUUAACUGUCAGGCUUUCAGGAGAUACUGUCUGGCUCGAGGCCGGGAGAGGUGAGAGGUACUUCAGGGGUAGGGGUGAAAUCUUGUAAUCCUUGAAGGACCACCAGUGGCGAAGGCGUCUCACCAGAACGGACCUGACGGCAAGGGACGAA
RNAcentral lists this ribosomal RNA (681 nucleotides) under archaeon enrichment culture clone A21H86. RNAcentral describes it as "bacterial SSU rRNA". It matches the Rfam family "Archaeal small subunit ribosomal RNA", at positions 21 to 708 of the family's 1478-position model. The record is from RNAcentral.